This 258-nucleotide ribosomal RNA is filed under the name Klebsiella pneumoniae. Its description in RNAcentral is "partial 23S ribosomal RNA". It matches the Rfam family "Bacterial large subunit ribosomal RNA", at positions 1396 to 1656 of the family's 2925-position model. The record is from RNAcentral. Lineage: Bacteria; Pseudomonadati; Pseudomonadota; Gammaproteobacteria; Enterobacterales; Enterobacteriaceae.
GCGAGGCCGAAAGGCGUAGUCGAUGGGAAACAGGUUAAUAUUCCUGUACUUGGUGUUACUGCGAAGGGGGGACGGAGAAGGCUAUGUUAGCCGGGCGACGGUUGUCCCGGUUUAAGCAUGUAGGCUGGUUAUCCAGGCAAAUCCGGAUAAUCAAGGCUGAGGUGUGAUGACGAGGCACUACGGUGCUGAAGUAACAAAUGCCCUGCUUCCAGGAAAAGCCUCUAAGCAUCAGGUAACAUUAAAUCGUACCCCAAACCG